GGAGAACUAAAUUUCUUCUUGGGUCUUAAAGUCAAGUAAACUCCUCAGGGAACAAUGAUAAGUCAGCAAAAGUACAUCAAUGAGCUUCUGAAGAGAUUUGAGAUGGAGAGUUCAAAAAUCAUAGAUACACCUAUUGUCACUCGCCUUGAUAUGGAUGAACCUGGUUCUCCUGCAAACGAGACUAUGUAUAGAGGCAUUACUGAGUCACUUCUGUAUCUCACAGCAAGUAGACCAGACAUUGUUUUCAGUGUGGCACUUUAUGCCAGGUUUCAAUCCAAUCCAAAGGAGUCUCAUCUGAAGGCUGCAAAGAGAAUUCUGAGGUAUCUCAAAGGAACGCAAGACCUGCUUCUCUGCUAUCCCUCAAGAGAUAAUUUUGACUUGAUAGGUUAUGCUGAUGCUGACUAUGCUGGUUAUCUGGUGGAUAGGAAAAGCACUUAUGGUAUGGCACAUUUUCUGGGUUCGUGUCUAAUCUCAUGGGGCACAAGAAAACAAAACUCAGUGGCCCUUUCAACUGCUGAAGCUGAGUAUGUGACAGUUGCCUCUUGUUGUGCCCAACUGUUGUGGAUCAAGCAGCAGCUAGAAGAUUUCGGUGUAUUUUCUGAUUGUGUGCCCUUACUGUGUGACAAUACCAGUGCACUCAACAUGGCCAAGAAUCCAUUUCAACAUAAAAGAACAAAGCACAUCGAUGUGCAGUACCAUUUUCUCAGAGACAAUGUUGAAAAAGGGCUCAUCUGUAUGAAAUUUUGCAACACAGAAAAUCAAAUUGUAGACAUAUUCACCAAAGCACUGAGCAAAGAAUACUUUGAAAGGAAUCGCUUGGCGCUGGGGUUGAUAAAACCAAGUUAAGGACCUGGUCCCUCGAUGAUUGGCUAUGAAAGAAAUGUACAGGUAAAUUAGCUAAAAAGUGUUUUCUGGCAAAGUCUAACUCAUUUCUAUACAGUUACAAGUAGACACGCAUGAUGAUUAUAGAGCAAACAAGCAGUUAAUGCAUUGCACGUUGGUCAAAGGAUGAGGCUUACAUUUGCAAAAUCUGUCAGGGAACCUGGUUCCUCCGACACAGGUCAGUAGUUUCUCUGUACUCUCAUGCACAACUUUUUAAAUGGUUGAAACGGUGCCACGUCAUUACACUGUCAGUUUCUUUUCUUUCCCGAUUUGUGAAUCCAAACGUCUCGCCCGUUAUGAAGCGACCCGACUACCCAAAUUGCCACCUAUUCCUAACCGGUCCCUCACCCCUCUUAAAUACAUCCAUUCACACUCACUUUCACUACUGUUCACAUCAAAAAAUCCAAAAUUCCUCUUUUUCUUUCUUAAAAGCAAACUUUCUAUUCUUCAACUCACUGCACUCUACCAUGUCUGAACACCAGGAAAUACAAGAUGUUCCAAGUAUCGUCCCCACUGUGUCCUUACCUGUUGAAACGUCAGUGAUAGAACCCACACUUUCCACUCCGACCAGUCCAAACCCUAAGAGAGAGUCACAACCACCCUCUGCUUCCUGUCACACCUCCUUUUUCCCGCGGGGGUAGGGGAUAAGGGAGUUUUUUUAAUUUAAGUGACAUAAUUUAAAAUGGGAUUAUUUAUUUAUUCAGAGUCGCCACUUGGAAUAAUUUAUGGUAUACCAAGUCACCGGUUUGUUUUAAAAUCCUAGAUCGAGGAAAUUGACUCUAUUUUUAUGGUCUGCGAACACAGAAGACCGGGUAAGGAAUUCUGUUAAAACGGGAGAAGGUGUGAGGCACUCCCGAGUUUCGUGGUUUUAGCACAGUCGCUUAAUAAUUACACUUAGCUCGAUUAUCUGAUUAUUACAUAUUUUGAACCUAUGUGCAUUUUAUUCCUUUUGCCACUUUUAAUGUUUAUGGAAUUUAUUUGAACAAGUCGCAAUGUCGCGCACUCGUUUGUUUUUUUGUACACAUUGAGAAUCGUGCCACGUGAAACGCACCCGCGAUUUAUAACAUGUUUGUUUUUAUUAUUAUUUGAAGUUCUGGUCGAGUCACAUGAAACGCACACUCGAAUUGGGAUUUACGUAUCGCGACCAUGCCACGAGAACCGUACCCAUAAUCACGAUGAUUUAUUAUUAAUCGCGCCUAAAGCAAACUACGAUAUUCAUGAGUUAUUCAUUUGCUAAAAUUUAAGACUAUUUGGGAAUGUCCAAGAAUUAUAGAAUCCUUUAUGCACAUGAUUACUGGCGAAAUGACUUAUCUAACGAACUCUCUUUUAUUUUUUUAUUAUUGAUUAAUAAUUAAUAGAAGAGCAGAGAUGUUAUUAAUUGAAUAAAAAUCAAGCAACUAAAUAUAAAAAACAGAAGGCUGUCCAUUCGAGACCCAAAGCAAGUUCACAGAAAAGUCAUAUGGCCAUUAGCAAUUAAUUCUAAACUUAAUCAAACCGAACAUAACACUUAUUAGUUGCAUAAUUUAAUUCCAACUCUCCAAACAUCAAAAUAUGCAAAUCAAAAGACCAUGGACACAAAUAAAGCAUUUAACAAAGAAUACACGAUAUCACUAGUAAUGUUGAAGCAAUAAGGAAAAAGAAAACAAACCUUUUAUUAGCUUUCAAAGUAUACAAAGAAAGGCACGUUGAAGAAGCUAACAACGAACAGACCCGCUAACGAUAGACCACGUCGGAACCUCGAAACUCGCGGGGAAAAGAUCGUCGGAAAAUUCAACUCGAACCCGACCAAAACGUUGUUGUUUUGUGAGGAAAGAGGGUUGUUUUCUAGCUGUUUUUCAGCUGAAUUUGGAGCUUCAUUGGACUGGUUUUACUAGUGGUCUGAGGCUGGUUUCUAUGGUUAAAACAGUGAGGGUUAGGACGAGAGGGAAACAGUGGAGUGACGAAGGAAAAUGCUCAUCGGCAAACUGGUGGUCAGCUCCAGCAGCGGCGAUGGCAGCUAAAAGCGAGAAGUGUGCGAGAAAAAAAAAACAAAAGGAAAGAGCAGUGGGAGGAGGGGUGAGCAGCGGGGCUGGCCAUAGUUGCCGGUAUUUUUCGGCUACUCGUCGGCGAUGGAGAUCAAGAAGGGUGGUCGGCUUUUCCUUUUUCUCUGUUUCCUAAAAUCGACCCUCCUAUAUCUCUCGUGCUCUCUCUAUCUUCUCCUUUUCUUAGCCCCCAACUCUUUUUAUUUCUCUAUCUAUCCACACUCUAUUUUUGUUUGUUUCCCCACCCCUGCUUUCCCCGUUCUUUUUUUUC
This 3174-nucleotide long non-coding RNA is filed under the name Nicotiana tabacum (common tobacco). RNAcentral describes it as "long non-coding RNA (NTAB_LNC001837)". Lineage: Eukaryota; Viridiplantae; Streptophyta; Magnoliopsida; Solanales; Solanaceae. The record is from RNAcentral.